GGCCUCAUGGCCAAAUGGCAAGGCGCUUGACUACGAGGAUAUAUGAAUAUUUCUAUUCUAAUUCCAGUUAUCAAGAGAUUCCAGGUUCGACCCCUGGUGAGGUCG
Molecule: non-coding RNA, 105 nt
Organism: Pleomassaria siparia CBS 279.74
Lineage: Eukaryota; Fungi; Ascomycota; Dothideomycetes; Pleosporales; Pleomassariaceae
Source: the annotation of a GenBank genome assembly